UACCUACAGGCAACUGCUCUCACCACAG
Molecule: non-coding RNA, 28 nt
Filed under: Mus musculus (house mouse)
Lineage: Eukaryota; Metazoa; Chordata; Mammalia; Rodentia; Muridae
Source: RNAcentral